Molecule: ribosomal RNA, 319 nt
Filed under: uncultured eukaryote
Lineage: Eukaryota
Description: partial 18S ribosomal RNA
Rfam family: Eukaryotic small subunit ribosomal RNA
Source: RNAcentral
CCCUUAGAUGUUCUGGGCCGCACGCGCGCUACACUGAUGCAUUCAACAAGCCUAGCCUUGACCGAGAGGUCCGGGUAAUCUUUGAAACUGCAUCGUGAUGGGGCUAGAUUAUUGCAAUUAUUAAUCUUCAACGAGGAAUGCCUAGUAAGCGUGAUUCAUCAAAUCGCGUUGAUUACGUCCCUGCCCUUUGUACACACCGCCCGUCGCACCUACCGAUUGAAUGGUCCGGUGAAAUCUCGGGACGGCGGCUUGGUCGCUUGCGUCCGACUGCUGAAACUUGAUUAAACCAUAUCAUUUAGAGGAAGGUGAAGUCGUANCA